GUCUAUGGCCAUGCCACCCUGAACCCUGAACAUGCCCAAUCUUGUCUGAUCUUGGAAGCUAAGCAGGGUUGGGCCUGGUUAAUACAUGGAUGGGAGACCACUUAGGAAUACCAGGCACCGUAGGCA
RNAcentral lists this ribosomal RNA (126 nucleotides) under Pteropus vampyrus (large flying fox). Lineage: Eukaryota; Metazoa; Chordata; Mammalia; Chiroptera; Pteropodidae. The record is from RNAcentral.